This 482-nucleotide ribosomal RNA is filed under the name uncultured bacterium. RNAcentral's name for it is "partial 16S ribosomal RNA". It matches the Rfam family "Bacterial small subunit ribosomal RNA", at positions 30 to 507 of the family's 1533-position model. The record is from RNAcentral.
AUUGAACGCUGGCGGCAUGCCUUACACAUGCAACUCGAACGGUAACGGGCCUUCGGGUGCCGACGAGUGGCGAACGGGUGAGUAAUACAUCGGAACGUGCCCGAUCGUGGGGGAUAACGAGGCGAAAGCUUUGCUAAUACCGCAUACGAUCUACGGAUGAAAGCAGGGGACCGCAAGGCCUUGCGCGGACGGAGCGGCCGAUGGCAGAUUAGGUAGUUGGUGGGAUAAAAGCUUACCAAGCCGACGAUCUGUAGCUGGUCUGAGAGGAUGAUCAGCCACACUGGGACUGAGACACGGCCCAGACUCCUACGGGAGGCAGCAGUGGGGAAUUUUGGACAAUGGGCGCAAGCCUGAUCCAGCCAUGCCGCGUGCAGGAUGAAGGCCUUCGGGUUGUAAACUGAUUUUGUACGGAACGAAAAGCCUUCUUUUAAUACAGGAGGGUCAUGACGGUACCGUAAGAAUAAGCACCGGCUAACUACGUG